Molecule: ribosomal RNA, 787 nt
Filed under: uncultured bacterium
Lineage: Bacteria
Description: bacterial SSU rRNA
Rfam family: Bacterial small subunit ribosomal RNA
Source: RNAcentral
AGAGUUUGAUCAUGGCUCAGAACAAACGCUGGCGGCGUGCUUAAUACAUGCAAGUCGAACGUGAUUGAGGGGGCAACUCCUCAUGAAAGUGGCGAACGGGUGAGUAACACGUAAAUAAUCUGCCCCUAAGUUCGGGAUAACCUUGCCAACGCGAGGCUAAUACCGGAUGUGAUCAUGGAAACGCAUGUUUUUAUGAUUAAAGGCGCAAGUCGCUUGGAGAUGAGUUUGCGGCCCAUUAUGCUAGUUGGCGGGAUAACAGCCCACCAAGGCUGCGAUGGGUAGCCGGCCUGAGAGGGUGUACGGCCACAUUAGGACUGAGAUACGGCCCAGACUCCUACGGGAGGCAGCAGUAGGGAAUUUUGCGCAAUGGACGAAAGUCUGACGCAGCAACGCCGCGUGAAGGAUGAAGGUUCUCGGAUUGUAAACUUCUGUUAAGUGGGAAGAAAAGCUCGCAAGAGUAUGACGGUACCACUUGAGUAAGCACCAACUAACUACGUGCCAGCAGCCGCAAUAAUACGUAAAAUGCAAGCGUUGUUCGGAAUUACUGGGCGUAAAGAGAGCGUAGGUGGGAUUAUAAGUUAGGAGUUUAAUCUAUGGGCUCAACCCAUAGUCUGCUCUUAAUACUGUGGUUCUUGAGUAUAAGAAAGGAUGAUGGAAUUCCAGGUGUAGCGGUGGAAUGCAUAGAUAUCUGGAAGAACACCAGUAGCGAAGGCGGUCGCCUGGCCCAAUACUGACACUGAGGCUCGAAAGCUAGGGGAGCAAACAGGAUUAGAUACCCCAGUAGUCC